Long non-coding RNA from Grus americana (Whooping crane), 4308 nucleotides. RefSeq lists it as uncharacterized. Lineage: Eukaryota; Metazoa; Chordata; Aves; Gruiformes; Gruidae. The record is from RefSeq and is a predicted model, not a curated record. The transcript is spliced from 3 exons.
AGGGGACACUGAGCAAGGCUGUUGUAAAUGCUUUGGAGUUUUGGCUGUAUCUCUCAGUUUAUGAAACAUGAAGUAGGAUGUGACCCAACACUGAUGGGUACUUCUGGACUCCACUGUGGCAUAACUAUGAGAAAAUAACCAAGAGCUGACUCGUGGUAUCAGCUCCCGCUUCAGGUGGCCUGUUCUGUUUUGUUCUUUUCCUGCUCUUCUCUCUCCUCCUGUCCUGGCUUUACCUCCCUGUCCAUACUCGCUUUGGCUUCCCGGUAAGACCACUUGGCUCUUUGCCUUUGCUGCUGUGGGUCCUGCAGGACCACCCUUGCUGCUUGCAGCAUCCCUUCCAGCUCUUAUUUCACACGAGCCCUCACAGCUCACCUUUCCCAGUUGCUAAUCUCAUGCUCUUGGCACACCCCCUGCUUCUUAAUACUUAAUACUUCUUAAUGCACCUUCCUUCCCAUGACAUCUGUGCUGCUUUCGCUCCGUAAAAGCCUCCCCCCGUGGCCAUUCCCAGUGUGCCUGCCUGAGCCUGCUCCGCACCACAAACAGCCAAUCCUGCCCUGCCACCUCCUCAGUCAUUUCUGGAUCCUGCCUAUCUGUUCCUCUCCAGCCACUCCAUCCCAGGGUGUUCCCAGCUCUGCCUCCCUACCUGCCAUCUUACUUCUUUUAACCAACUCAUUUCAGCUUCAAUUUCCAGAGCAACCCUCUGCAGCUGCUCUUCUCAUCAGUCUGCUCUUCUGGUCCCUUGGGAAACCUCCUGCUCAUUCUUCCUCCUCCUGCGUUAGUGUCUCCUCUCACCCCCAGGGUUUGUUCCCACCACGUCAGUGCUUGUCUUCUGCUGCCACCGUCCAGGUGCCACAGGACCUUCUGGCCCCACAGAUCUCACGUUAUACGCUGACCAGCUGCAGUCAAAGUGCACAGAGUGGCUAGGGCUGGACUGGUAGAUCAAAAUCCUGUUAUACUUUCUCUCUUCAGGGUCCUUAGACCAGAUCCUUAGCCAGAUCUUCAGAUGAGGUCUGGAUGCUGGUUGUGGUACUUGGGAGGGAGUAUGGGCUCUCUAAGAGAUGGCCGGGUCGCCUGGGAGUGAUAGGGGUGCAGCCGGUGUGAGGGAUGUAGUGUCAGAGGGUGGAGAGGGGCUUCGCUGUGCCUGUCACAGGCAGGUUCGGCUGUGUCACCUCAGUGACGUGUCCUGUGGCAGCAUUGCCAGCAGCUGGCCUUGGGUCGGGAAAGAGCAGCCCUCGGCAGUGAGGAGACUGAACUGCUCCUUGACUCCCAUACCCCACGGGAGCUUCAUGUCCCCCCACAGACCUUCAGCCCUUUCUGAGCACACAGCCAGGAGCCCUGCAUGUGUGUGGAAUUGCCGUGCCCUCCUUCCUCUUCUCCCCCUGCACAGAUGCAGCCCACCCUAUGCUCUGCCUGUGAACUGCAGGGCAGAACUGUCAAAACCACCUCUCUCAAAAAUAAUCUCUGCUUCAGAGGCUGGAAAAUGUUUCAGCUCAUUUUCAUAUGCAGAGCAAUGCGGUGGGUGUCUGAAAGCAGCUGAGGCUGAGGGGGUGGCCAGGGAAAGGCAGCUCUGACAUGGCAGGAAAGUGUGGCAGCUGGGGAACACGAGAGGAAGGACGGAAGGAAGGAAGGACAGAAGGAAGGGAGCAAACUGAGAAGGAGAGCUGGAGGCAGCAGACAGAGAGUUCAGGGCAGGAGAGGGUUGUACAGUGUGGAGCUGUUCUCUUUUCCCUGGCAUGCCUACUGCUGCUCGUGUUCAUUUAUUAGUAAUUGGAAAAGUGUCUCUGCUGCUACAGACAGCAGUUGCAGAGCUUUCUAUAUCAGAUAACUGGGGAGGUGGAGCAUAUAAUCAGCAACAAGGCAGCUUGUCUCUUUUUUUGUCUUCUCUAAGUUCCUUUCCCUUCUUCUUCAUACCCCAUUUUCCUUACACAUUCCAGCCUUAGGAAAAUCCUGCUUUGUCCUGGUUCUGCAAUUGCUUAUCAGAAUACCAGGUGAAAAACAGAACUUACUUGUCAUUAAGACUUCAGUUUAUGUGGUUUAGUUUGCUCUACCAGUCUGAUUGCCAGACAGAGCAAGUCCCAUUUGGCUGGCAGCACUGUGUUCCUCCCUGGCCCUACAUGAUACUAACCCCAGUUUCUGUAUACGUGCAUUUUACACAGUAUUGCUCAUGGCCCUUUUUCUCCAGAGCGGUUGUGGCUGUUCCUGAGUCACUGCAGUUCCAGUCCUGCCAUGCCUUCUCAGCGCCGUUCAAUGGAAGGUUUCAGAGGCUGUUAGCAGCACUGAUGUUUGCACUGCUGCCAUUGGAGGCAGUCUGGUGAGGGGAAAAAAAUACCUCAAAGACCCCUAAUGAAGCCUGGGGCAGUGACUUAAUGGCAGCUGCAUUUCAAGAGUUCCUCUGAUGGGCUAAAUCCUGGAGGUAGGAGGGAGAUGAGACGGUGAUAUGGCCGGGGUAUCUCAUGUGACGUAUCAAUACUGUAUGGAAGUCAGCAGGGACAGCUUCGCCUUUCCUCCUAACACAGGUACUGAAAAUGCAGAUACUGGGCAGAAGGAAAGAGGGUGUGAUCCUGCAGUUGUUGAUCCCAGGGCAGUGAACUGUUUUGAGCAAGGACUGAAAGGCGGAAUGUGAAAGAGAGAUCUCCACCAGAACAAAGCUUGCAUCCAGUUUUCAAGAAGCGCUCCUGAAGACCAUCUUCAUUUGUUUUGUGGUACCAGUUGUAAAAGAAACAUUGAUGUCGUAACAUCUGUGUGUGUGCAUGUGUUUGUUUUGCAGCUGGAACAGUUUUAACUAUGAGAAAACAGCUCCAUCCUGCUCUAUGCUGUCAGGAUCAUGCGCUUACCAGGAACUGUCUUCAGAGCCCUUCCAAAAAGGGACAUUUCCAGCAUCGAUGUGUGAGGGGAACAGAAAGCAGCGAAUGAGGUUCAGGGGGUUCUUGUCACCCACCUUAUCAAAACCUUUUCCACACGUUUUCCGCGCAGUUGUUCUGCUUGUGUAUUCAGGCUUCCACUGCAUGUACCUGGAUGCACAAGCGGUGGAUGCCGUACUCAUGGGUCCUGCUCACAAUCAGCGAGCACUGGCUGGGAUGAGUGCUGAAAUGUGAGGACAGGAGGAAGUCCUUUGGCUUCCUUGGUCCUCAGGAAGCUUUGAUGUUAACCUCACAUCCAGGUCAACCUCAUGAGACCAUGCACGGGUAUAAGCUGUAAUGUAUAGCUCUCUGGAGCAGGUAACAUCCAUAAUUCUCCAGAAAGCUUUGCCUGCUCCUCAGUCAGACUGCUUCUAGAGGAGAACUCCUGGGAACUCCUAAAGCUGAUGUGACACCCCCUUCUCCCCCACCCAGUAUUUUCUGCCCUGUGCAGGCUGCAUUGUCACACAUCGUCAGUCUCAUGUCAUAGUUUGGAUCUGUUUCCUUGCAUGCAGUGAAUUAAAGGCUCAGGUUUCAUGUAAGAGCAACCAGAGGCGUUGUGAAUGCUUGCAGUCAUAGUGAAAUCAGUGAUACACCAUCCUGGUCGGCAUGCGUAUGGUCGGCAAAGCUGAGACACUAACAUACAUAUAUGUAAAAUAAGACUGUGUCUGGAAAGCAUCUGUUAAAUAAAGAAACAGCAUAGCAAUCUAUGCUGAGGGAAGCUUUUAUGGAUCUGAAUUAGGAUGCCACAGAUGACACAGCAAAGCCACGUUUUUUAGGAGCAGACCUAUGUGUGGCCCUACACACACAGACCCCUCUCCCCUCUUUGGGAUGACUAUUAAUAGCACAGGGGCUGGCCAUCCCAAACUCCAAUGGUGUGCAGGUCUGUUUGGUUACUGCAGAGCUGUGUGGCAACUCUGGGUGAAUGCCCUUAAAUGAGCCUGCUGGCACUGGUGUUGGGAGAGCUCGAGGCUUUAGAAACUUUUGGGUCAAAUUUACUCUUGUUAAAUAAACAAUGAGUAUUGAUUAGAUCAUAUGACAGACCAACCAAGCACUCUUUCAAAUACCGCAGCUCAUUUGAGUUCAUUUUUAUGUAUUUAUAUACUCAGAAGCCCUUGAAAUAAUUGCUUUGGUGAAAGAAAUAGUAAAUGUUUUACUCAUGUAACUCUAUAUACUUUUAUAUGCACAGCCGCGUACACACGGAUAGGAGGAUUUUCGAGGCUGCUAAAAGGAUUUGGAUGCUCACUUUGUUUGGUUUAGUUGGAGACUUGAAUCCCUUAGGCAGAUUUGAAAAUCUCAGUCAUAAUUCUUUGCUUAUUUUAGUACAUCAGGGCAAGACCUUUUCCCUGUUAAAAUAAUUUCUAAGUACUCCUUUCUUGCUGACAUAAAAUAAAAAUGUGUUUAAGCGGAA